UGGGGAAUAUUGCACAAUGGGCGCAAGCCUGAUGCAGCCAUGCCGCGUGUAUGAAGAAGGCCUUCGGGUUGUAAAGUACUUUCAGCGGGGAGGAAGGCGAUAAGGUUAAUAACCUUGUCGAUUGACGUUACCCGCAGAAGAAGCACCGGCUAACUCAGUGCCAGCAGCCGCGGAAAUAAGGAGGGGGCAAGCGGUAAUCGGAAUUACUGGGCGUAAAGCGCACGCAGGCGGUCUGUCAAGUCGGAUGUGAAAUCCCCGGGCUCAACCUGGGAACUGCAUUCGAAACUGGCAGGCUAGAGUCUUGUAGAGGGGGGUAGAAUUCCAGGUGUAGCGGUGAAAUGCGUAGAGAUCUGGAGGAAUACCGGUGGCGAAGGCGGCCCCCUGGACAAAGACUGACGCUCAGGUGCGAAAGCGUGGGGAGCAAACA
RNAcentral lists this ribosomal RNA (427 nucleotides) under uncultured bacterium. Its description in RNAcentral is "partial 16S ribosomal RNA". It matches the Rfam family "Bacterial small subunit ribosomal RNA", at positions 355 to 774 of the family's 1533-position model. The record is from RNAcentral.